Molecule: long non-coding RNA, 1229 nt
Filed under: Hordeum vulgare
Lineage: Eukaryota; Viridiplantae; Streptophyta; Magnoliopsida; Poales; Poaceae
Description: long non-coding RNA (HVUL_LNC007325)
Source: RNAcentral
CGCGAGCCACAAGGAGUGCACCAACGUACUGCAUCUAUUUUACAAUUUUUUACAUUUUUCUUCUGACAUAUUCAAGAACAAACUGAAACACCAAAGAAAACUUCCACACGCAUUGUAGCACCGGGGCAGCCGAACAACAUCGAGAAGUGGGGCGAACUGCAAUUCAAAAGCGAGCAGACAACCUUAUGUUUAGUGAGCAGACAACCAUGUGAGCUCCAUCGAGCUUUUUCCUACUCAUCCAACAAUAGCAUUAAGUUAGCAGACAACCUUAUGUUUAGUGACAAACGGCCUCCCAAAAUGUAAAACAAGUGCAUCCAUGCAAAAAAGUAAAGAACUGCACACACAAAUGAAUCAACUGAGCCGCAUUGGAGUGCCAUCCACACUGCACCCGAUGGGGCAUUGGUGGAUUGCGGUAUUGCCAACAUGUCUUUCUGGGCUUCCGCUGCCACUGAACUUCCAACACCACCGAGCACAAGGAAGAUGAGCGAGGGAGUCUCAUGGGACAGCAUGAUCGACCUAAAGAACUUCACAGUAAAAUAAAAGGAGCCGUAAGUCAUGCCCCACCGAACUUCAUGACCUCGUUGUUGUGGUAGUGUUCGUAGUGCUGGCGACCUUGCCGGAAUACUCGAGGCGGAUAAGGAUCAUAGCGGUGGCUGCAAUGGAGGACAACCUUGGCAAACCAGCCUGCACCACGCCCGAUCUUUCUUCCCUCCAUCGGAUCUGCAUCUUUGCAAGCACUUAGAUGGUGAGGUAAAGGAGCUCCGGCGUGCCAACCAGUGUAGAGCGGGGCAGUGUGGGGGUGAACGGCUGGUGGUAGUGAGGUGGGACUUAGGACGCACAAGCCAUAUCAAGUGGUGGAGGCAGACCAGCAGGUUCCCGGGCUGGUGGACCAUCACUGAACCACCUCACUCGUGCCGCCGAGCUACAUGAUGACGGUCGCUGGACUUGAGCGGAUGAGAUGGAUGUCGCGCGGGAGGAGUUGGAUUCAGGGCGGAGAUGCUCGCUAGAAGCCUCACCGGUGUGAGUGAUGGAGGUCACCUUUACAUCGAGGGGAGGGUCGCCGGUGAGUCGCCACUAUCGGGAGGGAAAGGAUCGCUGGUGAGUCACCACUGUCCGGAGGUGAGGUGAGGUGGAAGAGGUGUCCGGUGUUGCUGGUGGCGCGCUGGCCCCACAGCAAGGAGGAAGAUGGGUGGGUGAAGGAGGUGUCCUCGGCAAGGUGAGCACGUGUG